Molecule: ribosomal RNA, 694 nt
Filed under: Vibrio parahaemolyticus
Lineage: Bacteria; Pseudomonadati; Pseudomonadota; Gammaproteobacteria; Vibrionales; Vibrionaceae
Description: bacterial SSU rRNA
Rfam family: Bacterial small subunit ribosomal RNA
Source: RNAcentral
CAGAAGAAGCACCGGCUAACUCCGUGCCAGCAGCCGCGGUAAUACGGAGGGUGCGAGCGUUAAUCGGAAUUACUGGGCGUAAAGCGCAUGCAGGUGGUUUGUUAAGUCAGAUGUGAAAGCCCGGGGCUCAACCUCGGAAUUGCAUUUGAAACUGGCAGACUAGAGUACUGUAGAGGGGGGUAGAAUUUCAGGUGUAGCGGUGAAAUGCGUAGAGAUCUGAAGGAAUACCGGUGGCGAAGGCGGCCCCCUGGACAGAUACUGACACUCAGAUGCGAAAGCGUGGGGAGCAAACAGGAUUAGAUACCCUGGUAGUCCACGCCGUAAACGAUGUCUACUUGGAGGUUGUGGCCUUGAGCCGUGGCUUUCGGAGCUAACGCGUUAAGUAGACCGCCUGGGGAGUACGGUCGCAAGAUUAAAACUCAAAUGAAUUGACGGGGGCCCGCACAAGCGGUGGAGCAUGUGGUUUAAUUCGAUGCAACGCGAAGAACCUUACCUACUCUUGACAUCCAGAGAACUUUCCAGAGAUGGAUUGGUGCCUUCGGGAACUCUGAGACAGGUGCUGCAUGGCUGUCGUCAGCUCGUGUUGUGAAAUGUUGGGUUAAGUCCCGCAACGAGCGCAACCCUUAUCCUUGUUUGCCAGCGAGUAAUGUCGGGAACUCCAGGGAGACUGCCGGUGAUAAACCGGAGGAAGGUG